AAAUCUUGGCAGAAAAAUGGGUUGCAUGGUCUACCCUCUCUACAGUUUGAAGAAACAAAACAUACUACGAGCCACGAUUUCCACAAACUUUAGCAUCCAGCUUACCAUGGGGUGGCAGGGAAGGUCAGGUCAUUGGGCAGGAACAGGACCGUCUGUGUGAGCUAUCACAGAGGAGUGUGGUUAUCCGAAGGGUUUAAUCUUUGACCUCAACUGUGGUACGAGCUGUAGCUUUUCCUCAAUCCUGAGACCCGAUAGACACCAUCAGGAGGGCUGACAGGGGCUUGAUAAAGGGAAGCUCAAGCGCAGCUAUAACAGCCUGUUGCUAUGUUGCUGGUGCAACCUGUGCAAAGUCUGAGCAAACAUCCUGUCAGCAGUGCUGGGCAGGGCAACCACCUCCCACGCUGGGCUGAAGAUUUAGAAGCAGAAAAGAUGAGCACUAGCCUCAGAAUGUCAGGAUGUUACGGCUCUUUUGCUAUGGAAAACCUCAGCAGAAAGAAGGUGCACACUGGGGAGUGUCAAUCUUUCUUCCUUUGGCUCUGUCACAGUCCCAUUUCUCCCCCUUGGAAGGGAAUCCAGCUUCCCAUUUAGAACUUUCACAGGACUUCUCUGUGCCCAGACUGAGGAGGAACGUCAGGUAUUUCAGGGAAUAUUUCCUUCCUGAAAUAGGAAGAGGCACUUCGCUC
Molecule: long non-coding RNA, 683 nt
Organism: Manacus vitellinus (golden-collared manakin)
Lineage: Eukaryota; Metazoa; Chordata; Aves; Passeriformes; Pipridae
Source: Ensembl